This 200-nucleotide ribosomal RNA is filed under the name Anochetus horridus. RNAcentral's name for it is "partial large subunit ribosomal RNA". Lineage: Eukaryota; Metazoa; Arthropoda; Insecta; Hymenoptera; Formicidae. The record is from RNAcentral.
GAAUUUAAUAAUAAAAUUUUUUAAAGAUAAAAAAUUAAUUAUUUAAUUGGGAGGAUUAUUAAAUUAAAAUAACUUUAAUAAAAAAAUUAAAUCAUUUAUUUAUGAAUUUUAUUUAAUAAAAUUUAUUUAAAUUAAAAUUAAUUACCUUAGGGAUAACAGCAUAAAAUUAUUUAUUAGAUCAUAUAUAAAAUAAUAUUUGU